CCUACGGGAGGCAGCAGUGGGGAAUUUUGGACAAUGGGCGCAAGCCUGAUCCAGCAAUGCCGCGUGAGUGAAGAAGGCCUUCGGGUUGUAAAGCUCUUUUGUCAGGGAAGAAACGGUGGGAGCUAAUAUCUCCUGCUAAUGACGGUACCUGAAGAAUAAGCACCGGCUAACUACGUGCCAGCAGCCGCGGUAAUACGUAGGGUGCAAGCGUUAAUCGGAAUUACUGGGCGUAAAGCGUGCGCAGGCGGUUUUGUAAGACUGUCGUGAAAUCCCCGGGCUCAACCUGGGAAUGGCGAUGGUGACUGCAAGGCUAGAGUUUGGCAGAGGGGGGUAGAAUUCCACGUGUAGCAGUGAAAUGCGUAGAUAUGUGGAGGAACACCGAUGGCGAAGGCAGCCCCCUGGGUCAAAACUGACGCUCAUGCACGAAAGCGUGGGGAGCAAACAGGAUUAGAUACCCUGGUAGUCCACGCCCUAAACGAUGUCUACUAGUUGUCGGGUCUUAAUUGACUUGGUAACGCAGCUAACGCGUGAAGUAGACCGCCUGGGGAGUAACGGUCGCAAGAUUAAAACUUAAAUUGAAUUGACGG
RNAcentral lists this ribosomal RNA (587 nucleotides) under uncultured bacterium. Its description in RNAcentral is "bacterial SSU rRNA". It matches the Rfam family "Bacterial small subunit ribosomal RNA", at positions 338 to 916 of the family's 1533-position model. The record is from RNAcentral.